Molecule: ribosomal RNA, 1495 nt
Filed under: metagenome
Description: bacterial LSU rRNA
Rfam family: Bacterial large subunit ribosomal RNA
Source: RNAcentral
CUGUAAUGCGAUGAGAGGACGGAGAAGGCUAAAUCAGCCUGGCGUUGGUUGUCCAGGUGAAAGGAUGUAGGCAUGUAUCUUAGGCAAAUCCGGGGUACUCUAUGCUGAGAUCUGAUAGCAAGCUGUACUUGUACAGCGAAGUGGUUGAUGCCAUGCUUCCAGGAAAAGUCUCUAAGCUUCAGUUACACAGGAAUCGUACCCGAAACCGACACAGGUGGUCAGGUCGAGUAGACCAAGGCGCUUGAGAGAACUCUGCUGAAGGAACUAGGCAAAAUGGUACCGUAACUUCGGGAGAAGGUACGCUGUUGUUGGUGAUGGAACUCGCUUCCUGAGCUGACGACAGCCGCAGAAACCAGGCCGCUGCAACUGUCUAUUAAAAACAUAGCACUCUGCAAACACGAAAGUGGACGUAUAGGGUGUGAUGCCUGCCCGGUGCUGGAAGGUUAAUUGAUGGGGUUAGCGUAAGCGAAGCUCUUGAUCGAAGCCCCAGUAAACGGCGGCCGUAACAAUAACGGUCCUAAGGUAGCGAAAUUCCUUGUCGGGUAAGUUCCGACCUGCACGAAUGGCAUAAUGAUGGCGGCGCUGUCUCCAGCAGAGGCUCAGUGAAAUCGAAAUCGCUGUGAAGAUGCAGUGUACCCGCGGCUAGACGGAAAGACCCCGUGAACCUUUACUGCAGCUUGACACUGAACUUUGACCUUACUUGUGUAGGAUAGGUGGGAGGCUUUGAAGCUGGAACGCUAGUUCCAGUGGAGCCGUCCUUGAAAUACCACCCUGGUAAUGUUGAGGUUCUAACUCUGUCCCGUGAUCCGGGACGAGGACCGUGUCUGGUGGGUAGUUUGACUGGGGCGGUCUCCUCCUAAAGAGUAACGGAGGAGUACGAAGGUGCGCUCAGCGUGGUCGGAAAUCACGCGUAGAGUAUAAAGGCAAAAGCGCGCUUAACUGCGAGACCCACAAGUCGAGCAGGUACGAAAGUAGGUCUUAGUGAUCCGGUGGUUCUGUAUGGAAGGGCCAUCGCUCAACGGAUAAAAGGUACUCUGGGGAUAACAGGCUGAUACCGCCCAAGAGUUCAUAUCGACGGCGGUGUUUGGCACCUCGAUGUCGGCUCAUCUCAUCCUGGGGCUGAAGCAGGUCCCAAGGGUAUGGCUGUUCGCCAUUUAAAGAGGUACGCGAGCUGGGUUUAGAACGUCGUGAGACAGUUCGGUCCCUAUCUACCGUGGGCGCUGGAAAUUUGAGAGGAUCUGCUCCUAGUACGAGAGGACCAGAGUGGACGAACCUCUGGUGUACCGGUUGUGACGCCAGUCGCAUCGCCGGGUAGCUAUGUUCGGAAGGGAUAACCGCUGAAAGCAUCUAAGCGGGAAGCCUACCUCAAGAUAAGAUUUCCCUAGGACUUUAUGUCCUCUAAAGAGCCGUUCGAGACUAGGACGUUGAUAGGUUGGAUGUGGAAGCAUAGUGAUAUGUGAAGCUGACCAAUACUAAUUGCUCGUGAGGCUUGACC